GCAUCUUGGUCUUAUAACUUUGGUUAAUUCAAUGAUUUGGUUAUUAAGUUGAUUUUUAAGGAGUAAUCACUAUUUAGAUGGCUGACUUUAGAUCAUGUUGGUGUUUGUCUUAGUACAUUUAAAAUGAGUAGUCAAAAAUAGUUACUAUCAGAUUUUGUAAUCUUGACAACAACAAAUGUAAUCACCAUUAUCCAUUGUAAUAUUAUGAAUCUGAAACCAGCUCCUGUACCUAGCUCCUGGAAGGUGAGAAGAGGCCCAGAAGUGGCAGGGCAGGCAGGUAACACCUCUUGAUUUCCAUACCCUGUUGUAGUCACUUUUCCAGGUUAACCCAUCACCAUGUGAGGUCUGUAGAGCUGCUUCCAGAGACUGGCAUGGGGGCUCCUCACACUUAUUCUAAGCUCUAAGGAAAUUAUGAGCUUGUCCACAUAACAUGCAGGCCUCCUAUUUGAGAUGAGCCAAAUAGGGGUGUAGUGGCCAAAGCCGGGGUGGAUGAGGGCCUGGAGUUUGGGGCCACAGAGUGGAUAUGAAAAUAGCAGCAUGGAAGAACAGCUGAACAGUUGUUCUACUUGAUAUGCAUUUGUGAUGUGCCACAUUUUCUCCUAUCAGGUUACCUGGACCCAUGGUUGUGUCACAGUUGCUUUUAUACAUGUACUGUCUUUACACAGAAAAUUAUGCAUGAUGCCAUUGGAUUCAGAAGUACAUUAACUGGCAAGAACUACACAAUGGAAUGGUAUGAACUUUUCCAACUUGGCAACUGUACAUUUCCCCAUCUCCGACCUGAAAUGGAUGCCCCUUUCUGGUGUAAUCAAGGCGCUGCCUGCUUUUUUGAGGGAAUCGAUGAUGUUCACUGGAAGGAAAAUGGGACAUUAGUUCAAGUAGCAACUAUAUCAGGAAACAUGUUCAACCAAAUGGCAAAGUGGGUGAAACAGGACAAUGAAACAGGAAUUUAUUACGAGACAUGGAAUGUAAAAGCCAGCCCAGAAAAGGGGGCAGAGACAUGGUUUGAUUCCUACGACUGUUCCAAAUUUGUGUUAAGGACCUUUAACAAGUUGGCUGAAUUUGGAGCAGAGUUCAAGAACAUAGAAACCAACUAUACAAGAAUAUUUCUUUACAGUGGAGAACCUACUUAUCUGGGAAAUGAAACAUCUGUUUUUGGGCCAACAGGAAACAAGACUCUUGGUUUAGCCAUAAAAAGAUUUUAUUACCCCUUCAAACCACAUUUGCCAACUAAAGAAUUUCUGUUGAGUCUCUUGCAAAUUUUUGAUGCAGUGAUUGUGCACAGACAGUUCUAUUUGUUUUAUAAUUUUGAAUAUUGGUUUUUACCUAUGAAAUUCCCUUUUAUUAAAAUAACAUAUGAAGAAAUCCCUUUACCUAACAGAAACAAAACACUCUCUGGUUUAUAAAACACCUUAAUUCUACUGCUCUUUUUUCUCCAAUCACCAGCAUCUGUUUUUCAGGGGGUGAUUUUACUUUUGUGAAUUCCUUAGCCUUUCUUCCUUGGUGCAUAAAGUUAAAAUGCACAUCAGCAGAAUUGCUGCAUAUUAACAUCUCAGGACUUUUCUCUUGUAAAGAAGCUGAAAUUCGUACUAUAUUGGCCAAAGUGAGCGAGUUAGGUGAUCUUGGUUUCAAUUUUCGAGCCUUUGUUAAUAUGGAGAAUUAUGGUUCAUAUCAGUUAUGUAGGACCUUUGGACCCAAGGUCCUACAGAUAGAUAUGGUGUGCCCAGAUUUUAAAAAUACCUUCAAAAAUAAAAAAUACCUUCAGUGACAUUUUCAUGGUGGGAGCUCUUCUUUCUGGUAUGGCAGUUACACUUUUUCACUUAAGUGCUUUAGUUUAGACUAACUUUACAACUUUUAUAACUUUUGGAACCAAGUUUAGUAUAGUCUGAUUACAUUCCAUUCACCUAACUUUAGACAUUAGUUUAGACACCAUAACUGGAGUGAUUGUGCUUCUAGAUGUGGCAAAUCCAGUGUUAACACAUAUUUCUGGCUGAGAUUUUGGAACUAGCUAGUAACUGGCUUGUGUUCUUUAAGCAACCUAACAUCACUAAAUCUUAGGAUUUAGGAUUGCUGUAAAGAUGUAAGUUGUGUAUGUUUGGCAGGUCACAUUGAAUGGCAGUGAUAAUGAUUAAUCAAAGAACAAAUGUCAUCCUUGAUCUUGCCUAAUGUAGUUUAUGUGCCAAACUUUCCAGGGUUUUGUAGUCACCUAGAUUUUAAGCUGAUAGCAUAGUGCUUCAGCGGUUCUUCCAACCGGGGUAUGCAGGAACAUGGCUGCAGACACGUUUGGGUAAACAGGCACCUUCUGACUUCUUCACUGUUUCCUGUAGUUCUCCCUCUUCCCACAAAGCUGUCAGCGCAGUGGAAGAGGUUGCGCUUCUCCGAGAGAGGACAGGUUUCUGUUAAGAUCACCAAGUAGCUGUGCUUUAAUUAGAGCCAGACAAGCUUUCAAGGUCCUUUAAGUAUUUGAUGAUCAACUGAACACGUUUCUAUUCAAGGAGAAAACACCAUUCAGUAAGAAGAUGGAGUAGAUAUCAGAUAAAACAAUUCACGUUUAAUAUGUAAAUGUACCAAUUAUGUGAUUCGGUUUCAACUAACAUUCAAGUACUUCCUGAGAGGUUAGUACAUUAUUAUUGAGCUCUCACAGAAAGCUUAAUCAUAGAUAUAAUUAACCUGAUCCAAAUGAGUAAACUGGACCUUAGAAAGGCUAAGUGAUCUUUCUCUGGCUAUCCAGCUAGUAGUAAUGAAGUCAGGUCUUGAACCCCGGUUCUGCUGACUGAAUUGGAUGCACUAUAGUACAGGCUUUUAGCACCGAAGUGUGGUCCUCAGACCAGUGCCUGCCAACCAGAUGUUACUGGUCUGUGAGGAAAUAA
Molecule: small RNA, 2867 nt
Filed under: Pan troglodytes (chimpanzee)
Lineage: Eukaryota; Metazoa; Chordata; Mammalia; Primates; Hominidae
Description: retained intron
Source: RNAcentral